CAGAUCUGCAAACACAACAAAUUUAAAUAACGAUAGCCGUUCCUAAUGCCGGAACUUGGGAAGCCUGUGUUUUGGGGGUAAAGGGAAAGAAGGAGAGCGCUCAUAAAAUCCAAGUGCCAGAAGCGUGGGAUGCCUGUGGUUUGGGCAGGAGAGUGGACAAGAGAACGCUUUCAGAUAAAAGCAAAAUGGCGGACAUUCACGAAAAGGGAAAAGUUUUAUAAAGCUAAACUUACAAGACUCAAUAUCGGCUCCUGCGAGUUUUCCUUGUGGGCCGAAGUGGCAGCGAAUGAACUUUCCCUGUUAAAAUGAGAAAGUAGUUCUCAACACACUGGUCAUGGCUGGCCCAGACGCGAGACGUACUCUGGUGGCCUUGCGAGGAUCGCAACGAGGAGCGCCAGAGGGACGGACGGUUCUACAAAAGAUGAAGUUGGUCUGACGCGCGACAAGGUGUUGACAUUUCCAAGUGACGCGAGCGCGAUGGUGUAACGUAAUGAGAGCGGUGGAAAGUACGCAAAGGGUCACGACGAGAGAAAAAGACGGAAGCUUCAGGGGUGUUUCUCAAGUCUGCUUGCCCUUGCAUGGUCGGGGAGUGACGAGAGAUGGACUGGUUACCCGCGGCAUUCGUCCCGACGUUAAUGCAAGAGACUGUUUGAAUUUACAAUUUUGUUUUGCUAUGUCCAAAUAAAUAAAAUAUGAGAAACGACAAAAA
Long non-coding RNA from Nematostella vectensis (starlet sea anemone), 709 nucleotides. RefSeq lists it as uncharacterized. Lineage: Eukaryota; Metazoa; Cnidaria; Anthozoa; Actiniaria; Edwardsiidae. The record is from RefSeq and is a predicted model, not a curated record. The transcript has 2 exons.